CCUACGGGAGGCAGCAGUGAGGAAUAUUGGUCAAUGGACGGAAGUCUGAACCAGCCAUGCCGCGUGCAGGAAGACUGCUCUAUGAGUUGUAAACUUCUUUUGUACAAGGGUAAACCUGAAUACGUGUAUUCAGCUGAAAGUACUUUACGAAUAAGGAUCGGCUAACUCCGUGCCAGCAGCCGCGGUAAUACGGAGGAUCCAAGCGUUAUCCGGAUUUAUUGGGUUUAAAGGGUGCGUAGGAGGAUUGAUAAGUUAGAGGUGAAAUGUCCGAGCUUAACGUGAGAACUGACUCUAAUACUGUUGCUCUAGAGAGUAGAUGGGGUAGGCGGAAUGUAUGGUGUAGAGGUGAAAUGCUUAGAGAUAAGACAGAACACGGAUUGCGAAGGCGGCUUACAAAUCUAUAUCUGCCGUUGAGGCACGAAAGCGUGGGGUGAAAACAGGAUUAGAUACCUUGUAGUC
RNAcentral lists this ribosomal RNA (459 nucleotides) under uncultured bacterium. RNAcentral describes it as "partial 16S ribosomal RNA". It matches the Rfam family "Bacterial small subunit ribosomal RNA", at positions 338 to 795 of the family's 1533-position model. The record is from RNAcentral.